AGGGUUCCUGGCGUGCUGAUUUGUGACCUAUGAUAAAAUCACAUUGCCAGGGAUUACCA
This 59-nucleotide microRNA precursor is filed under the name Tetraodon nigroviridis (spotted green pufferfish). RNAcentral describes it as "Tni-Mir-23-P2b_pre stem-loop". It matches the Rfam family "mir-23 microRNA precursor family", at positions 9 to 65 of the family's 73-position model. The record is from RNAcentral. Lineage: Eukaryota; Metazoa; Chordata; Actinopteri; Tetraodontiformes; Tetraodontidae.